This 305-nucleotide ribosomal RNA is filed under the name uncultured bacterium. RNAcentral describes it as "bacterial SSU rRNA". It matches the Rfam family "Bacterial small subunit ribosomal RNA", at positions 333 to 652 of the family's 1533-position model. The record is from RNAcentral.
AGCUUCCUACGGGACGCAGCAGUGGGGAAUAUUGGGCAAUGGAGGAAACUCUUACCCAGCAAUGCCGCGUGAAUGAAGAAGGUCUUCGGAUUGUAAAGUUCUUUAAUUGGGGACGAAAAAAAUGACGGUACCCAAGGAAUAAGCCCCGGCUAACUACGUGCCAGCAGCCGCGGUAAUACGUAGGUGGCAAGCGUUAUCUGGAUUUAUUGGGUGUAAAGGGCGUGUAGGCGGGAGCGCAAGUCAGAUGUGAAAACUCAGGGCUCAACCCUGAGCCUGCAUUUGAAACUGUGUUUCUUGAGUGCUGG